AAUAUUGGACAAUGGGGGCAACCCUGAUCCAGCCAUGCCGCGUGUGUGAAGAAGGUCUUCGGAUUNUAAAGCACUUUAAUUUGGGANGAAUGUCUUUAGGUUAAUACCCUGAAGUUUUUACUUUACCAACAGAUUAAGCACCGGCUAACUCUGUGCCAGCAGCCGCGGUAAUACAGAGGGUGCAAGCGGUAAUCGGAAUUACUGGACGUAAAGGGCGCGUAGGUGGUUCAGUAAGAUUGGUGUGAAAUCCCCGGGCUUAACCUGGGAACUGCUUUCAUAACUGCUGAGCUAGAGUACGGUAGAGGGUAGUGGAAUUUCCUGUGUAGCGGUGAAAUGCGUAGAUAUAGGAAGGAACACCAGUGGCGAAGGCGACUACCUGGACUGAUACUGACACUGAGGUGCGAAAGCGUGGGGAGCAAACAG
RNAcentral lists this ribosomal RNA (423 nucleotides) under uncultured bacterium. RNAcentral describes it as "partial 16S ribosomal RNA". It matches the Rfam family "Bacterial small subunit ribosomal RNA", at positions 360 to 775 of the family's 1533-position model. The record is from RNAcentral.